GGGGUAAUGCGCAGGAGAGCCCCCGUUUGUCCAUUUAAAUUAGCUUCAUCAUCCAUAACAAGAGUUUAAAAGGCAGAAGAGCAAGAACCAUGCAUAAUGCACUGUGCGUAAUGCAUAACGCACUGUGUCACGGUGCAUAAUAAUCAGCCCAGCUCGCUCCCGCCACCCAGCCUCCCAAGAUUUCUAAAUCUCUUCCAGUAAGCAUUUUGUGAGAAAGGCUUUGAUAAAAAAUGCCAUUUAGGGACUUUAAAAUUUACAGCCAGGCAAUUUGUCAUCAUUUAGAGGAGCAAGAAGAAGGAAAACUGAAUAUCACACACUCAUUUCCCAAACCUCCCAGUAGCAAAAGCUUCUGGCUUCACUGUGGAAAGGAUCUUGCCUUCCUCAAGGGACUUCAUGGAGGUGAGCCUGCCCUUCCUGAUGGAUCGCCUCAAACCACAGCUGUGGUUUGCACCCAGAGAGGAACACUUCGCAAAUGCACCGAUCUCUCCCAGAUGACAGGAAAAGGCUGCAUUAUCAAGACCACCCUCUAGACUUUCACCUUAGAAGGCACAGAGUCCGGGACGAACAAGGGCAACAUGAACAGCUGUGCGCAUCUCCAGUAGCAGCAGUCAUUUCCCGCUCAGCCAGGAAUUAAGGAACACACAGCAAAUGCCAUCAAGUUACUGACUAUGGAAACUUCUAAGAAGAACCUACUUAUACCAUUGGCGAGGAACACUAUGGGCUACACUGUUGGGUUGCAUCAUACAAUACAUAGUGUAUAUAUUGA
This is a non-coding RNA of Rattus norvegicus (Norway rat), 766 nucleotides long. NCBI's taxonomy places the organism in Eukaryota, Metazoa, Chordata, Mammalia, Rodentia, Muridae. The record is from RefSeq and is a predicted model, not a curated record.